RNAcentral lists this ribosomal RNA (253 nucleotides) under uncultured bacterium. RNAcentral describes it as "partial 16S ribosomal RNA". It matches the Rfam family "Bacterial small subunit ribosomal RNA", at positions 524 to 776 of the family's 1533-position model. The record is from RNAcentral.
UACGUAGGGUGCAAGCGUUAAUCGGAAUUACUGGGCGUAAAGCGCGCGUAGGCGGCUUUGCAAGUCGGGUGUGAAAUCCCCAGGCUUAACCUGGGAACUGCACUCGAGACUGCAUCGCUAGAGUAUGGGAGAGGGAAGUGGAAUUUCAGGUGUAGCGGUGAAAUGCGUAGAUAUCUGAAGGAACAUCAGUGGCGAAAGCGACUUCCUGGACCAAUACUGACGCUCAUGUGCGAAAGCGUGGGGAGCAAACAGG